RNAcentral lists this non-coding RNA (259 nucleotides) under Symbiodinium sp. CCMP2430. Lineage: Eukaryota; Dinophyceae; Suessiales; Symbiodiniaceae. The record is from RNAcentral.
AGUUAUUUACAAGCGAAACAAAAGAGCGCGUGAAAUAAGCUGAAUGGAAAGAGAAACACAAAGCACCAACCGCAGACAGAUUCUUUGGUCUUUGCUUUAAUUGAAAAUGAACAGAGCGUGCGCUUCUUUCUAUUUCACUUACCUCUGUUCAUUCUUCAAUUUAAAGCAAAAGAACAAAGAAGACAGAGAAAUCCAAGGUGUGAGACGAAAAGCCCACGAGAUUCCCUUUCCAUUCCCUUCUUGUUUUGUUUCAUUUAAA